AAGAAUUAUUCUUAGAUGGGGGUAAUUUUCUAAUAGUCUAUAUAUUUUUUCUAACAUUUUUUUAAACAUUUUCCUUUUGUAUAAGGGUAACUAAAUACUCUCUAGUGGUUUUUCUCGAAUAUUUUCUAUCUAUCAGAAAUUUCUUCUUGUGGAAACAUGUUUAUAUUUUGAUGUGGGUUAAAUGCUUUUAGUGAUUUUGGUUAUCUUGUUUUAAUUUUAUAUUUUUGGGUUUAGCAAAAAAAUUUUUUGUAUUUUUUUUUAUUUCUUUUUUAUUUUAAAAAAUGAUUGGUGGGUGUUAUAACCAAGCUUUAUUUUUAUUAAUUUUCAUUUUUUUAUUAAAAUUUUUGUUUUUAUGUAAUUUUUUAAUUAGUAUAUUAUUUUAUUUUUUUAGGUUUUUUUGUAAUUAGCUUUUAUAUAAAUUAUAUAACUUUGCAAUAUGUUUAAAAACUGUUUAACAAAAACUUAGGUUUUAUAAAAACUAUUUUCUGCUCAAUGCUUUUUAAGUAAAUAGCCGCAAUUUUAUUGUGCUAAGGUAGCGUGGUCAUUUGUUUUUUAAUUGAAAACCUGUAUGAAUGAAAAAAAUUUUAGGCAUCUUUUAUACUUUAUAAAAUAAAAUUUAUAUUUUGGGUGAAAAUACCUAUUUUUUUUAAAAGACGAGAAGACCCUAAAAAUUUUACUCCUACACCUAUAAUUGUAGAAGUUUGGUUGGGGCAAUUUUUAUAGAUUCAAUCUAUUUUAUAUAUUUUAUUAUACCUUUUUUUUAAUUGUUUGGUAAUUACUUUAGGGAUAACAGUGUAAUUUUUUUUGUGAGUUCUUAUUUUCAAUUAAUAUUGCUACCUCGAUGUUGGUUUAAUAAUUCUUUAAGGUGCAGCAGCUUUAUAAGAUAGUCUGUUCGACUAUUAAAAUAUCACUUGAACUGAGUUCAAAUCGGCGUGAGCCAGAUUGGUUUUUAUCUUUAAAUUUUAUUUAGUUUUUUAGUACGAAAGGAUUUUAAAUUUAAAAUUGU
Molecule: ribosomal RNA, 1006 nt
Filed under: Halotydeus destructor
Lineage: Eukaryota; Metazoa; Arthropoda; Arachnida; Trombidiformes; Penthaleidae
Description: 16S ribosomal RNA
Rfam family: Archaeal large subunit ribosomal RNA (bases 786-944)
Source: RNAcentral